UUUCUGUCUCCCCAGAGCGAGCUGCUUCUGUGAUUCCUUCCCCAGGUCAUCUCGGACGGCACCAAAGUCUUCGUCGUCCUCAACCAGGAGGUUCUAGAUUUCAAAAUAAUGAGCGAACAGUGUUUUCAGAUCUCUUCCUAGCGUAGAUUUAAGGUGUAUGUAAAAAAUAUAUCAACACAGGGUCUAAAUUUACAUGAACUAAACGAACAUAAAACAUCCUGGUGCUGGACACACGCGGCCACGAUGCAAAUGCCGGCCAGCCUGCUCUCUCCCUCCGAGCGUGCGGCCCCGCUGACGCGGCGCAGGGGCUCCGGCCGAGGGAGGGAGACGCAGGCAGGGGCCCUCCCCGGCGGUAAGCACAGCUGUUUAGAAAUCCUGUCACCGUGGCCACCUGCACACCUGCAGUGACACCGUGGGCGUCUGUUAACUCCUCGGCAUCCCCAGAUGCUGUCCCCACGUUCUCCCGAGGGACCAGACCUCCCUGCUCCUGGCACGUGCCAUCGGCUUCAUACACGGAUGUCAUUCACCGUGAGCCCUGGCCGCCCCGCAGUCCUGCCUCAGCACAGGGGGACUGAGCACGACGCUCACAGGAAGGAACCUGUGUCCAAAAGUGGCGAUUUUGAGGCCCGCCACCUGCCACCCCACAUGACUGACGGCCUCAGUCGUGUGCAUCUGGGAGGGGCAACUACGUGCUGAGAUACUGAGGACACGCAGGAGGCUUCUGCUGCUCUUACAAGUUGCUCUCAGGCUCCGAGACCAUCUGGAGAAGACGGGAUUAUCUGAGCCUUGAAGAGCCAAUACAACUUCUCUAUGAGAUCUGAGAAAUCAAUCAUCUUGAAUAAAGGAAAGUCAACCUCAGGUUCUCACUACGUUCCCCAUCUGAGAGAAGGCACAGCAGCCUAGUCACUACACCAGCGAGGCCCAGGCUCUCUGAGGAAGGCCCCCAACGUUACCCAGCUGGAAACCGGAAGCCACUCGAACUUUUCGGGGAAAUACUUGGCGAUUUCGAUCUUCUCCACAGGAAGAGAGCAGAAGUGGGCGACGCACUGCCUCAGGGAGCAGGCGGUCCAGCCCUGGGCAGUGUCCCACACCAAGUCCACGUGCGGGGCAUACGCCCUCCUGCCGGGGAUGCGCAUCUGGGUCCUCAGCACCACGUCGUGGGGCCUGCACCAGAAAACAGGCGCGUGUCAGACUGAACCA
This is a long non-coding RNA of Suricata suricatta (meerkat), 1200 nucleotides long. RefSeq lists it as uncharacterized. The transcript has 3 exons. Lineage: Eukaryota; Metazoa; Chordata; Mammalia; Carnivora; Herpestidae. The record is from RefSeq and is a predicted model, not a curated record.